Molecule: ribosomal RNA, 778 nt
Filed under: uncultured Neocallimastigales
Lineage: Eukaryota; Fungi; Neocallimastigomycota; Neocallimastigomycetes; Neocallimastigales
Description: partial large subunit ribosomal RNA
Rfam family: Eukaryotic large subunit ribosomal RNA
Source: RNAcentral
UCAGACGAUGCGUCAUGCAUAUCAAUAAGCGGAGGAAAAGAAACUAACAAGGAUUCCCCUAGUAACGGCGAGUGAAGCGGGAAGAGCUCAAAUUUGAAAUCUUCAAGGUUCUGACCUUGACGAAUUGUAGUUUAAAGAAGUGUUUUCUGUUGGAAGUUUUGGUAAAAGUUCUUUGGAAAUAGGACAUCAUAGAGGGUGAGAAUCCCGUAUUUGACCAUUAUUUUCAGCUGUGUGAUACACUUUCAAAGAGUCGGAUUGUUUGGGAAUGCAGUCCAAAAUGGGUGGUAAAUUUCAUCUAAAGCUAAAUACUGGCGAGAGACCGAUAGCGAACAAGUACCGUGAGGGAAAGAUGAAAAGAACUUUGAAAAGAGAGUUAAACAGUACGUGAAAUUGUCAAAAGGGAAGCGUUUGACACCAGUGUUGUUUUCCUCGAAAAUCAAUUAAAAAGAGCUGGAUUUUGUGUUGUAUUGACUUUAUCAGCUUUCUGCACUUUUUUCUUGUCUUUUUUAAUGCACUUUUCGUUUAACAAGUCAACAUCAAUUUCUUUUAUUGUAAAAGGGUCAUUGGAAGGUGGCUUUCUCUUCGGAGAAAGUGUUUAUAGCCUUUGAUCUCUGCAAUCGGAGAGACUGAGGUCUGCAGCGUAGAUCCUUCGGGGUUAGAUACAUUUGUGCUAAGCUACAGCUUUUCAUAGACAACUUGUUGACUAUGUUUAGUCUUGUAACUUACCCGCUUAUGCUAUUUUACCUACGCUUAGGAUGUUGAUAUGCAUGACUGAUAU